AUGAAGUGGUGCCAAGCUUCUUGCAUUCUCUGUGACAAGAGAGUGCCACAAAAGCUAAAAGGCAAGUUCUAUAGGACGACGCUUCGACCUGCAAUGUUGUAUGGUGCUGAGUGUUGGUCAACUAAAAGACGACAUGUUCAACAGUUAAAUGUGGCUGAGAUGCGCAUGUUGAGAUGGAUGUGUGGCCACACGAGGAAGGACCAAGUCUGGAAUGAUGAUAUACAAGAUAGAGUUGGGCUAGCACCGAUUGAUGAGAAGCUUGUCCAACAUCGUCUGAGAUGGUUUGGGCAUAUUCAGCGCAUGCCUCCAGAAGCUCCCGUGCAUAGCGGGCGGCUAAAGCGUGCUGAUAAUGUCAAGAGAGUUAGUGGUAGACCAUGCUUGACUUGGGAGCAGGGGUGGGCAUUCGGUACAAACCGAAAGUUCGGUUUAUACCGUUCGGUUAAUUCUUAA
This 450-nucleotide ribosomal RNA is filed under the name Triticum aestivum (bread wheat). RNAcentral's name for it is "partial small subunit ribosomal RNA". Lineage: Eukaryota; Viridiplantae; Streptophyta; Magnoliopsida; Poales; Poaceae. The record is from RNAcentral.